Molecule: long non-coding RNA, 10806 nt
Organism: Leptidea sinapis
Lineage: Eukaryota; Metazoa; Arthropoda; Insecta; Lepidoptera; Pieridae
Exons: 2
Source: RefSeq, a predicted model, not a curated record
UCCAACGAUAUCGGAUUCUUAAAGCGGGCAGGAAACAACUUUAAAAAUUUGCGUUGAGACGUUCACAAGAUAUUCUGAUUUACUUUCAGGUAAACCACAGAUUUCAAUAUUGGUUUCUCGGUUGUGUUGUUCUAUUGAAGCGAUACGAGUGGAAAGAUGCGUCCAGUAGGAGCAGAGCACCUAACAAUCGCCCACCGCUGAGCGCGCAGUCUCGAGAACGCGGCGCUUCCGCCGCCGCUAUGUUCCGUGUUCCUUUGCAACACAUUAAGUGAUAUUAUAUUAUUAUUGCAAUAUUAAACAUUGGGGAGCUGAAUCAGUUUCGGGCAAGUGUUCAUGACAAUUGCGAUUUGAGUUUCAUUUGUGACAUGUACCGGUUUUAUAUUAAUCUAAUCAAAUAUACAAAUUAUAUUAAGUAGUUGAUGCGUGCGAGUAUUACGGAAACGGUAACGCACAAGCUUAUUCAGGGCUCCAAUAAAAGACGAUUAUAAAGCCGAGGAGUUAAAGGCUCAUUUCUUAGAUAUUUAAAAACAGCAAUAGUAAAUCUAAGAUCAAACCGUGUUAUAUCUCACUAGCGUCGCAUUCGAUAGGAACAAUCAUGCUUUAUAGAUCCACUGACUUCUACUAUAUACCACUGGUCUGGCGGCUGUCAAACUUGUGCCUAUUUGAUAUUCGCCAUUUUGGCGCUGUUGGCCAUAUAGCGAGAGUCUGCGGUACUAAAACUAGUGAUGGCAACUAUUUAUAAAAAAAAUGUGUACUUUAUUACGUUGAUUCUUGAAGUAUAAAUAAUACGAAAAACGAACUAAAUUAAUUCAUAAUGCAAAACUACUUCAGAGUAUUGUACGUUCCUUCGCAGCCAUUUGUAUUAUGCGUCAAAAUUAGUUCUCUGGACGCUCGCGAGUGGCGCCGUGGAAUAGGCCCAAAAAAUAUGCUGUCAAACAUAUGGAACAGUCUGUCCAGUGGUAUUUAUACAAGUCAGUGUAUAAAGCUACGAGUGUUAACGAGCUAACAUUAGCAGAACUAUUUGAAAUGCCUUUUAAAUUUUAUCAAUUGAUUGCGUCGUGCGUUACCGCUCCGUGUGAGCCAACAUAAGCCGGUUGUAUGACAACGGCUUUUGUUUGUGUAUAGACUUGUAUAUAAUUAGGUUAAACAAAGGAGCGCAUCGCUUUAACAUUACUGCCAUUAAUCUACAGGUUGUUGAUUGUUGGUUUAAACGAGUUUCACUAUAUUUACUGAGAUAUGCAGGUGGAAUGGCCAAGCUGCGUGUAAUAGUUCUGUAUUACCUCGUAAAUAAUGGUCACCCUAAAUAGGCCAAUCGACGUAUUACUAUUAAGUGUAGAGUGUCCAUUUUUUUGUAAUAUUUGCUAAAACAUGUAUGGUGUAGUUUCGACGGCUCCGUCUAUUCCUCCUGCAUACUGAUACAUUAGCAUCUAGUGGUUAACAUAUACAAAUUUAUAAAUUAAAUACAGUUUCACAAAGUUAUAUUGAGAUUUUAAAUCCAUGUAUAAGGUCGUGUGAGGUCACUUAUUAAAUAUAUUUGUAUAAAUUAUAUAAUGUAUAUUGAAAGCCCGCUUGGCUUACAUAUGAGAUAGCUAUUGGUAUUAUCACAUCUAUAUUAUGGAAAUUUACAAAAGUAAUAAUAAAUACAGCCUCGAUAUGUAAAAAAUAAUAAUAAUAAUUUGAUUUAUUUAAUUCUAGAGUCAUUUUUUUAAUUCAUUCAAAUUUGGUGGAAAUACGGAUAUACAUACUGGUACAUACAACAUAUUUAUGAAAUAUUUGCAGUAAUCAAAUUAAAAUCAAAUAUUUAAAUGAGGGUAAAUAUAUUCAGUAUAGAAUAUAUUUUUAAUGUAACUGAUCGUAUUUCAACCUAACAGACAGCUGUUUAAGCCUGGUAAUAACUAGUAGACGUCCCUAGACUUGAUUGAAUUACUUGUUAUCUUGUUUGUCAGUACACACUACGUAAAAUUGAAUUUUAAAUAUCAGAAUCGAUCUAUGUUAUAUGUUAAUAUAUAUAUUUUAUAUCAAAAAUAUUUUCGUCAUGUUUAAUGUGUAAAAAUUAAUUAGCCAAUUAUGCGCUUCCAUUGUAUUAUAGUACCGUAUAAUAAAUUAUAUUAUUAAUUGUCACACGAUAUAUAGCCUUUAAGCGGAGCUUAGUUUUGAAAUAUUUUUGAUAUAAAAUUUUAAAAAGUUAAAAAUUAUCAUAGGCAAUAGUUUAAUUAUUAUGAAACGAAAUUGAUUAGAUUGGCACGACUAGGUAAAGGGUUGAUAUUUAGGAAAAUGAAAAUAUCUGUGUGUGAGAUAUUCUGCGAAUAAAAAAAAACAUAUUUUUCUGUUCCUUAAUAAUUAUUUUUUAUUGAUAUGCUUUUGUUGUGAAAAUUGUUAAUAAUUCUCUUCGAAAAAUAGGUAUGUGGGAUUAGUCUGCUGGUGGCUUUUUGUUAUAUUAUUUAUUUAUCUUUAUAUUUUGAAUGUCGCAUAUUAUGCGUGUGUAUAUUAGGCCAGGGGCAAUUUUUGUUGAAACCAUAAAAAAAUAAUAGCGGGAUGAAACCUAUUGGAAAACCUAAGAAAAAAUAAAUUAUGUGCGAUCUGCGGUCGGGAAGUGGAAAAGGGUAAACAGCGGUUUAUCUUGAUUUCCGGCAAAACUACAAGUCCUAAGCAAAAAGGUUGAAUAACAAAGUUGUAUACAACUUUUGUUGUCACACUUUUAUAUAACGCCAAAAUUUAUGUGAAAAAUUCUUAAAACCAAAUUUUGGUUUUUAUUUAAAAAAUAAAAAUAUUUUCACGAAAUUUGGUGAAAAGUUAUCUUUUUAUGUGCCAACCCUUAUUUUCAAUCGAAAAUUCACCCGUCAAAACAUUUCCAGUUCCGGACCACAGAUUGGCUGUGAUUUAUUUUUCCUUUUAUUUAAUUCUCUUCCUUUUCCAAUGGGCUUCAUCCUACUAAUUUUUUUUUUCACUCCUCAUUAUAGGCUUCAGCACUGGUGUAUGUUGUAAGAAUCAAUAUCUAACCAGCGUAUUGCAUAUUUCAGACGUCUAUAUAAUACAACCAAUUGCAAACCUUACUGGAGAUACUAUUAAUAUGUUUUAUCUGUAACUUUAGCACAAAAGAUUAUUAUUAAUUAAAAAUAACAGAAAAAUGUUAUAUUUUCAUCCGAUAGCGCGCCAUUUCCUAAGGAAGUUCAUUAGACGUAAAUAAAAUGUAACCAUAUGAAAAAAAUAUAUAUAACGAAUAUUUGCUCGUUAUUUUGUACAGUGCAGCGUCCAGAUAUUCGCAACAACCUUUUGAUCAUUGUAUUCAAGUGCAAUUCCGUGUUUCUUGAAAAUAUUCACAGAUAAUUUAUACGUCUAGAUAGAGUCCUGCUGUUGUAUAACAACAGAUAACAACAGGCCAGGAACAUUGGUUUAGUGUUUGUGACAAGCUACGUCUUUCAUUCACUAUUUGUAUGACACUUUCAGUUAAUGUGCGUGAAUUGCUUAAAAUAGAGGUUAGCUGUUACAACUUUUUUGACGUUUUCACAGCUGUCAUAGUCUAUGUAGACGUAUAAGUAAUCUAAGACAAUGUUUUAGUUUAUUUUAACAUUAAAUUUUGUUUGUAAUUUGUUGCCUUCCGACUUAUUUGCUGCAAAACCAUAUUGGUAAAGCUCUAAUGAACACGUCAAUCACUGUCAGAAUAUAAAGUUGGGUCAAAUGUUGCAAUAUAAAUCGAAUGACUUAUUCAUUUUAUGGUAAUUGGUGGGUUUUUGGAUUAUUUUGUUUAAUUAGUCUGCUGUUAGUGAACAGUGUGAUAUGCAACCAGUGAAGUAACGACGUUUCAUUAUUUAUUUCGAUUUUGUUGAAUUUACUGCACAGUUCUAAAUAAAACUGAAGAGUAAAUAUAAUAUUUCCGAAAUGCCCAAACAAGUUGUAUAUUAUUAAUUAUAUACGGUCAUUGUAAGAAGAAAGGAAGUAGGGAAUGGUUCAGGUUAUAUAUUAUAGGGUUGCCAUUAUAUUAAGAUCCCAAUACGGGAUGCACAACGUUUUCGAUGUCCAAAAAUAAUUAACAUAUUUUACACUGAAACGCAGCGUUUCAACUUUAUCAAAGCAUGCGUGUACAGUAAUUGCCCCUAUAACGUGGUAUCCUUUUAAGCAGCAGUUCAUGUUACGUGAUUUCAAUCUCCUUAUAACAGAGGCGACCCUCUGUAUAACGCAUGUAUUUCCCACAUAUAUAUUUCUAUACUGUGACAUUUAUAAUUAUUUGUACAGUUCAUAAUUAGCUUGGCGUACCUUUGAACGUGUGUCAGUUGUGUUAUUACAAAAUUAAUAAGAAUACAUAUAACGCGUUUUCCCAUAACGUGGAACCACUCUACGGCGUUAUUAACUGUAGUAUUAGAUACCGCGUAGGUAUUUUGUUAACAGCUACCCUCUUAUAUGAACAUAGUAGGAAUGAAUAAUAUAAAGUUGUUAUUCGAAGUAGGUAAUCGUAGUAGGUAGAGUAACAAAGUUUAAUUUAAAUUUAUUAUUACUUUGAUCAGUUAUAUUUUGAGGUUGAUUUUACUUUUGAAAUUGAUCUCUUUUUUCGUUAUUAUAAUCACAGAAUUGAGCGCAUGUAAUUUUAAAAUUAUAGUAACAAGGCAAUAUGGAUUCAAUGGUCUGUAUAGACAAUCUGUUUCGUUCUCACCGUCAUCAAUGUUAGUAUGUAUAUUGUUAUGGGGCAGUGCGACCGAUAUUAAUACCAUCUUUGUGCUGCAUAAGAGGGCUAUUCGCGCGAUUUAUAACCUAGGUCCUAAAGAAUCAUUAAGAAAAAAAUUUAAAGAAAUAAACGUUUAGACUGUUGCUUCUCAAUACAUUUUUGAUAAUGUUCUGUAUGUUCAUAAGGACAUUGAGGAAUUUUCUAGAAACUGUGACAUUCAUAAUGUUAACACGAGGAACAAACAUAAACUUGUUAUGCCUACUACUCGGUUGGGUCGAGUUAGUAAGUCUUUCGUUGGGCGAUGUAUAUAUAUGCUUCUACAAUAUGAUCCCAGAAAAUGUACAAAACAAAUGUGAACGAAAUUUAAAAGAAUUGUUAAAAAACGUUUGUGUGGAAAAGGUUCUUUAAUUAUAAAUGUUUACUGUAUGAUAUCACAUUGUAAUCCAUAUUUUAUAUUAAAAAAAAGCCCGCUGAGUUUCUUGCGCCCAUUCUACUCAGGUCUGAAGCAGUCUCUUUUGAAUGGGUGGUAGUUUAUGACGUUCAAUAAGUGAUUUUAAAUCCUAUUUUGAAUAAAAAUAUUUGAAUUUGAAUUUAUGACAGUCGCCGCUCGGCUCCAGCUGAAUAUUUCUAUAUGUUGUGAAAAUUGUCGGGACAAACAUGGGACAUGUAGCAAUACGGGACGGACUGUUUAUGGCAACCCUAGAUAUAUAUUAGUAUUGUUGAAUUCAUUCAAUAUUAGAUCCAUACUUUGUAUAGCAUUGGAAAGGUUGUGAUGCUAUUCAAAGUCAAAAAUUUAUGUUUAUGUGAUAAAGACUACCAGACAAAAUUGAUAAUAUUUUUUAUAGAGACUCAAUUCAGAUUCUUUUGAAACAGCAUAUUCAAACUACAGUGUUCAUUUGUGUAUAGAAGAAAUACUGAUGAUAAGAUGAUUAUGAAACUGAAAUAUCGAAAAGUAAGAAUUUAUGUAAAAAAAAACCCAGUUGUAAUAAGUUUUAUACCCACCAUUUUUACUUUACCUAAAAGUUCACUUUUCAAAAAAUAGCCAUAUUUUUGAAUGAGUUCAAAACAUGGUUUUACAUAUGAUUGGCAUUUGGAUGAUAAGUGCCAGGCAAGGUUCACGCGGUUACUUCAGAGCCAGAAUACAGCGAGACUUUUGAGAACUUCGUUCCUAUACGACAUGCAAGUCUGAGAGUAGUUGCAAGAACAGGACAGUCCUGGAUUGAGGGAAUCAGAUACCCGGAAUCGUAAUCCUGCAGUGCAAUACGCUCGCACGUAACCUAUAUUCUGGCCUGGUUCUCUAAAUCAGUGUUUUUCAAUCGUAAUUACUUCGCGACCCCAUUACAGCUUGAAAAUUUCUGGAGACCGCCUUGUCAGUCAGAUAAAUAAUUUAUAAUUACAUUUUAAAGGACGACUAAUAUAAUAUAUAUAUAAUAUAAUGACUUUAUGCACAAAGUGUUGACGUGUUUUGGAUGAGAUAAUGAAAAAAAAAAAUAUCUAGGGCGCGGGAAGCUCUAAAGUUAUUAGUAGGUACCAUUCGCAACUUCAUACCUGUGUGAACUGCCAUUCUUUUCUAAUGGUGGACAUUAAAACAAAAAAGAGAAAUAGACUUCAUUUAGGAAAUGAUUAAAUGUUAAUAUUUCAAAAAUAGCACCACGAUUUGACUUUUGAAAAUUAAACAAUUCCAUCCUUCUCACUAAAAUUGUGUGUUUGUUGUUGUUUUCAUUAACUUUUUCUUUUGCCGGCAACCCUCCAAGGAAGGCUUUGCGAGCCACAAAUUGAAAAACACUGCUCUAAAUCAUUAGUAUCUAUAGGACCAUAGUCGAGCUGCAUUGAACUUAGAAACACUUAAACAAACGUAAUUUACCUCGAUAGUUUUAAUUUGAAUUAUCCCAGGAAUAAUGGCUGGCUUUUGAAAAGUGACCUUAUUGUUUUUAUAAUAGAAUCUAAAGUAGGCCCGAUAUAUACAUAACGUAAAUAAUGUGUUCAAUAAGAGACAAGAAGUAUUCAUGUUCAACUAUUGUUAGCUGUAGAUAGAUAUAUCUAUGUGAAAUGCAAUACACGAUUUUAUUGUUUGUUACUUGUUGUUAAGGUUCGGGUUCGCGUGAAUACUAAUAGCAAAUAUAUAUACGACCGAUGUGACACUCGACGUUAGGGGUCACCGAAUGAGGGAAGGCAAACGGUCAAACAUUUUUGAUGUGAAACAUGUAUUGGCGCCACUGACCUCUACUAUAUAGCACUGGACUGGCGGCUGUCGAAGUGCUUUUGUGCCUGUGUGAUAUUCGCCAUUUUGGCGCUGUUGGCCAUGUAGCGAGAGUCUGCGGUAAAACUAGUGAUGACAACCUCAGCAAACAUCGAUAGAUGGUGAGAAAUUAUUAAGAAAAAAAAAUGUGUACUUGAUAACGUUGAUUCUUGAAGUAUAAAUAACACGGAAAACGAACGAAAUUAAUUCAAAAUGUAAAAAUACUUCAAAGUAUUGUACGUUCCUUCGCAGCCAUAUGUAUUAUACGUCGAAAGUAGUUCUCUGGACGCUCGCAGGUGGCGCUCAAAUAGGCACAACAAAAUUGCUGUCAAACAAAUGGAACAGCCUGUCCAGUGGUAUUUAUACAGGUCAGUGAUCGGCGCGCUUGCCGUUACGGAAAACCAUAUGACGCUCACUCGUGUCGUCAUGCCUUCAUAGAUCGUCGCCAUCUAAUGAAUUUAUUUUAUACCAAAUCAAUUUUGAAGAAAUCAAACAAAUUUCUAAUGUAACACAACAGAACAAUGCAAACUGUGUUUUAUUUGUAAAGUGAUAGUCUAUUUUUAUUGGAAUGAAAAUAAACAUUAAAUUUUGUGAAAAUGAUCACUUUCUCUUGCAUCAACAAAUAGUAUAAUUUGUAAUUUUUUUUUUAAUUUUUUAAUUUUAUCGGUAUAGUUUUUAAAGUAUUUGAAUUAUUGAUAAUAUCUUUUAUAUUAUCAUAAUAUCGUAACAUAUUUCAAUACGGUUACAUAAUAUGUGUUUUGUUUAUAUUAAAAAUGAUUGACAUAUUAGUAGGGAAUUAAGUAUGUUCGAUAGUAUAAUGAAUAUGAUAGAUUCAUUUGUUUGCCCCUAAUGUCGAGGCUUUAUAUGAAUGUAAUUAAGAUAAUUAUAACUCUAGUUCAUAGAACGCCUUUAUAGUUCAAAUACAUUGUUAAUUAAUAUUAACCGUAAUGUUAUGUGUACACAAUACUCGGGUAGUUGGACCUUGCCAAUAUUUAGACCGAAAUAACUGUUGUUCCUUAUCCGCCAUCUUGAUAUCCUUUAUUUGUUAAUGCUAUUGUGUUUUUUACCAGUGUCUCACCUAAAUAUUAAGAUUUAAGUAAGCGGCCUAUUUAUCUUCGUUUAAGUGAACAGAUUUUUGUUUUUACACCCACCUAUCGACUGAGAGCCACAAUUAGAUUGAGAAAACCCAUUUUAUUUAUCUAGGCUUUCUAGCCUAAUUUAUGCAGUAAAAAUAUUAUGACUUGUGAUCCACUAAAACACACUGCACCAGUCAUAAGACAAAAUUUACUUUUUUAAGAGCAGGGACCAGAGAGUCUGCUAUAUGAUAUUGGAAGAACGAAAUAACACACUAGAUAGUUAGCACACGCGGGUGUCACAUACACGGUACACAUAUAUCGUCCAUAAAUCAUGACAUUUUUAAAUAAAAUACAAUGUUAUAAUUGGACGUAAUUCUAGAAAAACGUUACAAAACACAAUCAUGUCGAAAUUGAGUUAAGAACACAAAACUGGUCACGUGAUUCAUAUUCACGGACUGACACAAAAUGGCAGCCCUACUUGUCACUCUUUCAAUGACAUCAUGACUUAGUAGGCCAACCCACAUGUAUGGAAUACACUGAUAUUUAUUAAACUUUCAACACGAAUUCCUUAAAAUGUGAUGUUUGUGGCUUGGAACGUUUUUCAGGAACUAUGUCCAAUUAUUUGUGGCAGUAAAAGCUUGUUUUGUUGUUGGACCUCGGUUCAGUAAUCAGUUGGUGAACAGGCCGCUUGUUUCUAUUAUUGUAAUUAUGUUGUUAUGUUAUAAUUUCACUUGGUGAAUGUUUAGUUAAGCUUUUGUUGAGACGUUCGGUGCCACCUCGCAACUAUGUAGAUAAAUAUUUAACACAUUUUAUAUACGAGUAGAGUAUGUUACUUAUAUUCCACUUAGUUUAUAAGGAGCGUUGACUAAGAUGUUAAGUGCAAGCGCACCGAAUAGCGACGUGUGUUGGCCAUUGCAUCUCCGUUUGCAAUUUGCCGCCAUCUUGGAAACUGUUUAUUGACUUUAACUACUGCGGAAUGUUUAUCAUCGGUCACCAAUACAAAUUUAAACUAUUGAAGCAUAUUGUAAUCGGAGAUGGCGAUGUUUGUUUCGGCUGGGACGGAUCGUACGACAUCGAAUGCUAGAGUGAAUGCGGCCUUAUUAUCGUAAAUUAUUAAUAUUUAACUAUAUCUAUAUUAUAGGUUUGAUAUAGAACGUGUGGUGUGGGCUUGUGGAGCUCCAUUCAUAUAUACUAGUCCCAUUUCAAGUUUAAAUAGGGUUCUUGCAUAAAGAUGUUCCUGUAACGGCGUAAGGAUAGUCUUGUUUCGUUAAGUAUAAAUAAUUAUUGUGUACGAAGAGAUGUUUGUGAGCGGAGCGGAUGACGUCACGCGACGGCUGCUAAGGAGGCUUGAUGUGCGGGGUUGUGAGCCUUAUUGCAUUGUUGCAAGAGCUAAAUUACGACGGUUGUUUGGUAAAAUGGUUUAGGUUCGGACUUGGGAUAGUAGAUAUAUUUUUCUACUUCUGGUGCUAGUUGUGUUGUAUUCUACAUAACGCUACGCAGGCAUUACUCGCAGUCAAUUAUAAAGCCACUGUUUCUGAUCCCUGUUCAAUGCCCGCCAGCUAAAGUAUAUUAUAUUAAUUUAUUUGUAGGUUUACGGUGGAGGAAUAGAGUCAUGUGGGCAAGUGUGCGCACCUAAGCAUACAAACACUUUGUCAAAGAUAAACGAUAAGCAUGAAAGGAAAAUAAAAAUAUGUCUGAUAGAGUAUAUGUAAUAAUUAAAUUAAUAAAUGAAGUCUCAAAACCUUAACACUUCGUAAAAAAAACGAAUUAAUCCGAAUGAUUCUAAAUAUGCACAAUUAACACACACACUUACCCCGUAGUAAGGGGAAGUGUGCCCACUCGUGUGGGGUGAAUUUGUGCAACUAAUGAAACUAAGCGGACUUUUAUUGCCUAAUGAUUUUAAUAAUACAACUUCGAAUGUUAUGCUAAAUAUAAAAAAAAGCUCAGAUACAUUAUUGACUGAAAAAAAAAAUACUUUAAGUUACUUUAUCCUUAGUACAGUUUGACAAAUUUGCCUUGACAGAAAAUUUUACCAUUACGCCACCAGAUUCUUAAUAUUUAGUUAUUUCGGUAAACUAAUGAUACCACGUGGGUUUUUCUUGCAUAAGCUAAUUUCACACCAAAACAAACUUCCCCCUCUCCAUCCAUAAAUAAAGGAACUGCGCACACUUACCCCACGUGACUCUACAUACCUACAAUAAAAUAAAUAAUUCAAAGACUGUCUGAAGUAGAACAACUCCUCGGAAGUUAUCCGCGAAUAUCUAUAGCGAGUGUAGUGUCGGAAUAGUUACUCUUAUUAUUGAUUACGUCUCGUCCUCGCGUCGCAAGUUUAAACUUGUUCUUCGUCCGUCAUCUUCAGCUACCAAUCAAAUUCACCGUGAUACCGUCAACAAUCCGAUGAAGUGGAUACUUCUCUUGUCGUAUGUGAUUUUAAUUUAGGAUUUAUUACAAUUGCUAUUUAGCAGAAUGGCAACUUGGCUUAGAGCCGGAUCGCAAAAUGUAUUUGUGGCUUUAGCGACCUCCAGCCGGUUCGCACUUAUUGUUUCGCGUGGUUACAAUUCGCAGUGAUGUUAUGAUUUAUAGGAUUUGUUACAAAUAUUUAGCAUAAUGGCCACUUGGCUUAGAGCCCGACCGCAAAAUUGUACAAAAAUGCAUUUUAGCUUUUGUGGUUUCCGGCCGGUCCGCACUUAUUGUUUCACGUGGCUAGUAGUAGGUACGCAGUGAUGUUGUGUUUUAUAAAAUUUCUAAACUUAUCCUAAUUUUGGUUCGUUACUUUUUGGUUACUUUCAUAUUAUUAAUUAUGUAAAUAAAAAUAAAAGCUUUGGAUUUCA